This 253-nucleotide unclassified non-coding RNA is filed under the name uncultured Christensenellaceae bacterium. RNAcentral's name for it is "contains 16S-23S intergenic spacer region". It matches the Rfam family "Bacterial small subunit ribosomal RNA", at positions 524 to 776 of the family's 1533-position model. The record is from RNAcentral. Lineage: Bacteria; Bacillati; Bacillota; Clostridia; Christensenellales; Christensenellaceae.
UACGUAGGGGGCGAGCGUUGUCCGGAAUGACUGGGCGUAAAGGGCGUGUAGGCGGCUUUAUAAGUCUGGAGUGGAAGUCCUGCAUUCAAUGUGGGAAUUGCUUUGGAGACUGUAGAGCUUGAGUGCGGAAGAGGUAAGUGGAAUUCCCAGUGUAGCGGUGAAAUGCGUAGAGAUUGGGAGGAACACCAGUGGCGAAGGCGACUUACUGGGCCGUAACUGACGCUGAGGCGCGAAAGCGUGGGGAGCGAACAGG